GACGAACGCUGGCGGCGUGCUUAACACAUGCAAGUCGAACGAUGAAGCCGGAGCUUGCUCCGGUGGAUUAGUGGCGAACGGGUGAGUAACACGUGAGCAAUCUGCCCUUGACUCUGGGAUAACUGCGGGAAACUGCAGCUAAUACCGGAUACGACACCUUGGGGCAUCCCAGGGUCUGGAAAGAAUUUCGGUGAAGGAUGAGCUCGCGGCCUAUCAGCUAGUUGGUGAGGUAAUGGCUCACCAAGGCGACGACGGGUAGCCGGCCUGAGAGGGUGACCGGCCACACUGGGACUGAGACACGGCCCAGACUCCUACGGGAGGCAGCAGUGGGGAAUAUUGCACAAUGGGCGAAAGCCUGAUGCAGCAACGCCGCGUGAGGGAUGAAGGCCUUCGGGUUGUAAACCUCUUUUAGUAGGGAAGAAGCGCAAGUGACGGUACCUACAGAAAAAGCACCGGCUAACUACGUGCCAGCCGCCGCGGUAA
Molecule: ribosomal RNA, 483 nt
Filed under: uncultured bacterium
Lineage: Bacteria
Description: partial 16S ribosomal RNA
Rfam family: Bacterial small subunit ribosomal RNA
Source: RNAcentral